UAUUACGGCUGUAAACUAUUGAACUUCUUAGCCAUGCAGAAUGUAAACAUGUUCAUGAGAUCUGCUGUAGCCUCACUGCCCUAGAGGUGGAACGAGGUGGGAUGGUUGUGUCCGUGUGUAACCGGUUCUGUGUGUUCUAACAGCCUGCCCUAAAGCACACCUUGUUGAGCAAACACAACAUAGGUUAACAGGGACUCCAGAUCCGGGAGGCGGCAGUAGAUGGAGAGGGGGAGAGUAGGUUUAAGACCAUUAACAGGCUGGUGAUUGACAGCCUCGUUGUGUGUUUCAGCAGUACAGAGACAACCUCACGAUCUGGACUGAAAGAGUCUUUCUUUGUUAGCCAGUCCUUCAGUGAAACCCUCCAGACACGCAGACACAGAGACGGACUGUAGGACUACAGUGAAGCUGCAUCCCUAUUCGGGGCCCGGGGCCCGCUGUUCAAAAGUGUUGUCAAUUGGACGCAGUGUAUUGAAAGAGGAUGUGUUUUUCACCAGGGGGUCAAAGAGUCAGGGUUAUUUAUUGUUCAUAGCUGAAUAUUAACAGACGUUGUCAUAGCAACAAGGCCGUUUUUUUUUUCUCUCUCGUUUUUUCUUCCCGAAAACUGCUGUAACUUUGUCCUUGGAGCGUUAACCUACUCCAGUUGGUCUCUGUUAUUACUGGGCUGGUCCUGGCUGCUGGUCCUGGCUGCUGGUCCUGGCUGCUGGUCCUGGCUGUUGGUCCAGGCUGCUGGUCCAGGCUGCUGGUCCAGGCUGUUGGUCCAGGCUGCUGGUCCAGGCUGCUGGUCCAGGUUAUAUUAACCCUGUUAAGAAUGUGCAUUUGAAACAAUGACAGUGUUGGAAUACCUUUAGUCAUGUAAAAAAAUAUAUAUUUUGAGAUGUACUGUAGCCCAUCAAGAGCGCUAACAGAUCUGGGACCAGUUUACUGACUUCCUCACAUCACUAUAUUCUGUAGCCCAUCAAGAGAGCUAACAGAUCUGGGACCAGUUUACUGACUUCCUCACAUCACUAUAUUCUGUAGCCC
Oncorhynchus tshawytscha (Chinook salmon) is the source of this 1020-nucleotide long non-coding RNA. The record is from Ensembl. Lineage: Eukaryota; Metazoa; Chordata; Actinopteri; Salmoniformes; Salmonidae.